This 213-nucleotide ribosomal RNA is filed under the name uncultured bacterium. Its description in RNAcentral is "partial 16S ribosomal RNA". It matches the Rfam family "Bacterial small subunit ribosomal RNA", at positions 524 to 734 of the family's 1533-position model. The record is from RNAcentral.
UACGUAGGGGGGCUAGCGUUGUCCGGAUUUAUUGGGCGUAAAGAGCGUGUAGGCGGCCAGGUAGGUCUGGUGUGAAAACUCGAGGCUUAACCUCGAGAUGUCAUCGGGAAACCAUUUGGCUAGAGUCCGGAAGAGGAGAGUGGAAUUCCUGGUGUAGCGGUGAAAUUCGUAGAUAUUCGCAAGAACACCAGUGGCGAAGGCGGCUCACUGGCC